AUUGCUUCUCAGCCUUUUGGCUAAGAUCAGGUGUAAAUCUGUUCUUAUCAGUUUAAUAUCUGACACGUCCUCUAAUUGAGAACUACAUAUUAAAUUGAUUUUUAGAACAGGGAGACAGAAGAGGAGCUUGAUCUGUCAGGCCGUGCAUCUGCCUGGUAUUGCAGUACCUCCAUGAGCAGUGCACCUCCU
Molecule: small nuclear RNA, 189 nt
Organism: Colossoma macropomum (tambaqui)
Lineage: Eukaryota; Metazoa; Chordata; Actinopteri; Characiformes; Serrasalmidae
Product: U2 spliceosomal RNA
Exons: 1
Source: RefSeq, a predicted model, not a curated record